RNAcentral lists this long non-coding RNA (1138 nucleotides) under Heterocephalus glaber (naked mole-rat). Its description in RNAcentral is "lncRNA (ENSHGLG00000030256.2)". Lineage: Eukaryota; Metazoa; Chordata; Mammalia; Rodentia; Bathyergidae. The record is from RNAcentral.
CCCUGAGGCUUAAAACCUUCAACAACGCUUCCUCUGGGGUGUAAGCUCUUCUUACUGGCUCACCCUGUGGAGGGAGUGUACUUUCACCUUCAAUAAACCUUUGAUCUUGCUGCUCCUUUUGCGUGUCCUGCUCAAUUCUUUGUUCAAGACACUAAGAACUUGGAUAAGACCCUUCAUCGAGUAACAAUUUUGUAUUAUUUAACCCAAACUUCUGCCACAUGAGGAAGUAAGAAAAAUCUUUCCCUCACUGGCAUCUGCUUUUGUCUGAAACUUCUCAUCCAAACAGCUUAGACUUUCUUGGUAUUCUGGCAUAAAUACUCUGAAGAACCCAUUAGAAGACUUGAAAGAGUACAGAAAGAGGAAAUCUCAAGAAUAGGUAAGAUUCUGCUUUGUGAGAAAGGGAAGUCGUGUGUCUGCUCUCCGAAACUCUGUUCUCAGUAAAAGCACCAUCAGGUCGAGAAAACAUGUACGUCAAUCAGUUCCUCUUUGCUUAAAUGAAUUCCGCAUGAAUUUGUCAUUUGCAACCAAGAGUUCUGACAAAUACAUUGCACAAGAAAAGAGAAAUCAUGAAUCAUGAAAAAUGGAUCUUAAUUCCUUUAAGAUGAUGGAGCCAGCAGCAAAUCACAUCUCUGUGCUGGGAACAGAGACAUCUAGAGAACAACUUCUUCGUGAGAAGAAAGAGAAGAGCUCUGGGAAUCAAGAAAGAACCAGUAGGAAAGCUAAAAAUCACAGAGAACAGAAGACAACCAGAGAAAGGAAUGAAGCAGUGUGGAAAGCUAACUCUGACUCCAGGGUAGAGGGGAUCUCACCCCCAAACACAAGAUACCUUGAAGUCUGCCUUGAAGAGGGAAGAAACAAAGACAAGAGCUUGGUGGAUAGAAUAACAGGAUCUCACUAUGUAGACCAGGAUGGCUUGAACUCACUAUGUAGCCCAGUUGGCCUCGAAUUCAUGGCGAUCCUCCUGCCUCAGCAUCCCAAGUACUGGGAUUACAGGUUUAUCCUGGAGGACUUUUUCCUAGAUUCCUGUAACUAAAAAUUAGCUACAACAAUGUUUCUGAAAGAGGUUUUGGAUAAGCCAUCUAAAGCCUUAUAUACUUGAUACUAUUUUUAUUUACUUGUAUUUAAAUGAUAGUUGGGC